This is a long non-coding RNA of Salvia splendens (bonfire salvia), 502 nucleotides long. RefSeq lists it as uncharacterized. The record is from RefSeq and is a predicted model, not a curated record. The transcript is spliced from 2 exons. NCBI's taxonomy places the organism in Eukaryota, Viridiplantae, Streptophyta, Magnoliopsida, Lamiales, Lamiaceae.
GAAACAUCCGUGUAAGGAUGAUCCGGGACCAGGCAGAGGGUUAUGUGAGCUGCUCUGCAGUGGAAGCUGGGACUUUCGUGUUAUCGAAGCUUGAUUUCCCGGUACUCGUUCUGAUGAUGUAUCCAGUCCAUUGAGAGUCGGAGCGAGCGAGAGAAAGGAGUUUAGGUCAGUGAUGCCUAACCAAAAAUGGACGGGAAAAGGCUUCCAUAGCGAGGAGACAACAAGGAUCCUGCUGGUGGCUUCCUCCUACGCUCGUUGUGCCCAGCUAGGCGCCUCCGGCAACUCCUCUUUCCCUGGUCGAAUUCGGGCAACUGAUGAAAUCUAGAACAAGGCCAACAUAUUAUAGUAAAAAUAGAAGGUAUGUGUUAUUCAUAAUCAUUGCAAAUUCACCAAAUUCUUUGUCAUAUUUAAUCUUCUAUCAUUUCAUUUGACAGAACCAGAUGUGAACUAUUAAGACUUAGACAAUCAGAUUAUAUCAAUUGUAAACUUGAUUAGCUAGAAA